UUAAAUAUCAAUGCUAAACAUAGCCUAAAUACUAAUAGUGACAUUAAGAUUCGUCAAAUCUCAUCAAUGUCAACAAAACAUUUACACUAAUACAAAUACAUCCACUAUAUGACUAAUAAAUGUCACAUGCAUAUUAACAUCAUUUGUCUCAGAAAACUAAUCGAUCGCGUAGAAAAUUAAUUUUCAGAUAAAAUGUGUUGUUUCAGUGUCUUCCGCCCGCGUUGAAUGUUGCUCCAGUUUAAGCAGGCAAGCAAUGCAUAAAGCAACCAUCUAAAAAGAAAUUAAACUUCACCAACUAAUUGUGUGUGUGCGAGAGAGAGAGAGAGAGAGA
RNAcentral lists this unclassified non-coding RNA (331 nucleotides) under Hevea brasiliensis (rubber tree). Lineage: Eukaryota; Viridiplantae; Streptophyta; Magnoliopsida; Malpighiales; Euphorbiaceae. The record is from RNAcentral.